Molecule: ribosomal RNA, 406 nt
Filed under: uncultured bacterium
Lineage: Bacteria
Description: partial 16S ribosomal RNA
Rfam family: Bacterial small subunit ribosomal RNA
Source: RNAcentral
AUUGAACGCUGGCGGCAGGCCUAACACAUGCAAGUCGAACGAGUGGCGGACGGGUGAGUAAUGUCUGGGAAACUGCCUGAUGGAGGGGGAUAACUAAUGGAACCGGUAGCUAAUACCGCAUACCAUCGGAUGUGCCCAGAUGGGAUUAGCUAGUAGGUGUGGUAACGGCUCACCUAGGCGACGAUCCCUAGCUGGUCUGAGAGGAUGACCAGCCACACUGGAACUGAGACACGGUCCAGACUCCUACGGGAGGCAGCAGUGGGGAAUAUUGCACAAUGGGCGCAAGCCUGAUGCAGCCAUGCCGCGUGUAUGAAGAAGGCCUUCGGGUUGUAAAGUACUUUCAGCGAGGAGGCGUUACUCGCAGAAGAAGCACCGGCUAACUCCGUGCCAGCCGCCGCGGUAAUUC